GCGCGAAAACUCCACACUGUACGGAAGUACGAUGGGGUUACCUCGAGUGUAGUCUGUAAAAGAUUGCUUUUCCAUAGAGUAAUAUCCUGUGGGAAUAAGAGGGGGGCAAGACUGGUGUCAGCCGCCGCGGUAACACCAGCCCCUCGAGUGGUAGGGACUUUUAUUUGGCCUAAAGCGUUCGUAGCCGUCUGUAACCGUUGCCCGUUAAAUCCAGCGUCUCAAGCGUUGGACUGCGGGCGAUACCUUACAGAUUGAGGGUGGGAUAGGUAAGCGGUAUUUCUGGGGUAGGGGCGAAAUCCUUUGAUCCCAGGAGGACCACCAGUGGCGAAGGCUGCUUACUAGAACACGCCUGACGGUCAGGAACGAAAGCUGGGGUAGCGAACCGGAUUAGAUACCCGGGUAGUCCCAGCUGUAAACGAUGCGCGCUAGGUGUUGGGUCGGCCAUGCGCCGCCCCAGUGCCGCAGGGAAGCCGUUAAGCGCGCCGCCUGGGGAGUACGGCCGCAAGGCUGAAACUUAAAGGAAUUGGCGGGGGAGCACCACCAGG
RNAcentral lists this ribosomal RNA (545 nucleotides) under uncultured crenarchaeote. RNAcentral describes it as "bacterial SSU rRNA". It matches the Rfam family "Archaeal small subunit ribosomal RNA", at positions 339 to 886 of the family's 1478-position model. Lineage: Archaea; Thermoproteati; Thermoproteota. The record is from RNAcentral.